This is a long non-coding RNA of Daucus carota subsp. sativus, 385 nucleotides long. RefSeq lists it as uncharacterized. NCBI's taxonomy places the organism in Eukaryota, Viridiplantae, Streptophyta, Magnoliopsida, Apiales, Apiaceae. The record is from RefSeq and is a predicted model, not a curated record. The transcript has 2 exons.
CAGAUAGUGAAAAGGGGGCUGAUGACUCAAGAUGAAUACGAUGAAGCAAGUACAAAAGCACUAAGCUUAUUUGAAUAUGGACAGGCAAUUGCGGAGGCAACUAGGGAUGUCACCGAUGGUGAGAGUUCGGAGAAUGACAUUGAUGGGGAUGAUGAUGGUGAUGGCGAUGAGGAAGAUUGAAAUGAAGCUACCUAGUUAGAUGCAUUAUUGGUAGGGAUGCUGAUUUUGUUAAAACAUUGCUUUUGGCUUUUGAUUGUUCAACUAUAACGUAUAUGAUUGUUGGCUUUGGUUGGCUUUUGGCUGAUUGUUCAGCUGUAACAUUUAUGUCGUACUGAAUUUUAUAACUGUUCUUGUUUAAAUAUAUGAAUGCUUGUUGGCUUUUAAA